Molecule: ribosomal RNA, 253 nt
Filed under: uncultured Beijerinckia sp.
Lineage: Bacteria; Pseudomonadati; Pseudomonadota; Alphaproteobacteria; Hyphomicrobiales; Beijerinckiaceae
Description: partial 16S ribosomal RNA
Rfam family: Bacterial small subunit ribosomal RNA
Source: RNAcentral
UACGAAGGGGGCUAGCGUUGUUCGGAUUAACUGGGCGUAAAGCGCGCGUAGGCGGGUUUUUAAGUCAGGGGUGAAAUCCCAAGGCUCAACCUUGGAACUGCCUUUGAUACUGGAAAUCUUGAGUCCGGGAGAGGUGAGUGGAACUGCGAGUGUAGAGGUGAGAUUCGUAGAUAUUCGCAAGAACACCAGUGGCGAAGGCGGCUCACUGGCCCGGUACUGACGCUGAGGUGCGAAAGCGUGGGGAGCAAACAGG